GAUGAACGCUGGCGGCGUGCCUAAUACAUGCAAGUCGAGCGAACAGACGAGGAGCUUGCUCUUCUGACGUUAGCGGCGGACGGGUGAGUAACACGUGGAUAACCUACCUAUAAGACUGGGAUAACUUCGGGAAACCGGAGCUAAUACCGGAUAAUAUAUUGAACCGCAUGGUUCAAUAGUGAAAGACGGUUUUGCUGUCACUUAUAGAUGGAUCCGCGCCGCAUUAGCUAGUUGGUAAGGUAACGGCUUACCAAGGCGACGAUGCGUAGCCGACCUGAGAGGGUGAUCGGCCACACUGGAACUGAGACACGGUCCAGACUCCUACGGGAGGCAGCAGUAGGGAAUCUUCCGCAAUGGGCGAAAGCCUGACGGAGCAACGCCGCGUGAGUGAUGAAGGUCUUCGGAUCGUAAAACUCUGUUAUUAGGGAAGAACAAAUGUGUAAGUAACUGUGCACGUCUUGACGGUACCUAAUCAGAAAGCCACGGCUAACUACGUG
RNAcentral lists this ribosomal RNA (497 nucleotides) under uncultured bacterium. Its description in RNAcentral is "partial 16S ribosomal RNA". It matches the Rfam family "Bacterial small subunit ribosomal RNA", at positions 28 to 507 of the family's 1533-position model. The record is from RNAcentral.